CCAAAAACUUUUUUUAAAGUCAUCAAAAACUCAUAUAUAUAUAUAUGUGUACUUCAUAUGUAAAAUGUACAACUCGUAAACAAACGCGUCCCGCGAGCUGUUCACUGUGCUCGUGAUAAUCUAUCUGAGGGUUUCUGAGUCGUAUGAGCUGUGAGUUAAGAGGAGCGAUGGCUUCCCAGAGAGCAGCUCGAGUUGUGACGUGAACGAGAGCUGCAGCCGGUCGCUCGUGACUCGUGUGGGAAAAGAUGUGCCAAAAAGUAGGAUCGGCACUCAACGCACCCGCCAUCUUGUGCCUUUAUCAAAGAUCUGACAUCGCCAUAACAACAGUCAGCGUUACAGGAGAAGCGAGCGACCACGUUCAUCCCCCCGGAGAGCUGGACCACACCAAACCGUCACGUCACGAGCUCGACCAACCGUCACGUCCAGCACCGUACAAGCAAGCACGCGAGACCACAUACGUUGUUGUUGUUGACUCCCGUUGCUUGGUUCUUGUCGCCAGGACUACCGUGACUAUGGCGCCUU
Long non-coding RNA from Pseudoliparis swirei, 522 nucleotides. RefSeq lists it as uncharacterized. The transcript has 3 exons. NCBI's taxonomy places the organism in Eukaryota, Metazoa, Chordata, Actinopteri, Perciformes, Liparidae. The record is from RefSeq and is a predicted model, not a curated record.